This 432-nucleotide ribosomal RNA is filed under the name Haloarcula sp. AR7. RNAcentral's name for it is "bacterial SSU rRNA". It matches the Rfam family "Archaeal small subunit ribosomal RNA", at positions 105 to 536 of the family's 1478-position model. The record is from RNAcentral. Lineage: Archaea; Methanobacteriati; Methanobacteriota; Halobacteria; Halobacteriales; Haloarculaceae.
CAAACUACCCUACAGACCGCGAUAACCUCGGGAAACUGAGGCCAAUAGCGGAUAUAACUCUCAGACUGGAGUGCCGAGAGUUAGAAACGUUCCGGCGCUGUAGGAUGUGGCUGCGGCCGAUUAGGUAGAUGGUGGGGUAACGGCCCACCAUGCCGAUAAUCGGUACAGGUUGUGAGAGCAAGAGCCUGGAGACGGUAUCUGAGACAAGAUACCGGGCCCUACGGGGCGCAGCAGGCGCGAAACCUUUACACUGCACGACAGUGCGAUAGGGGGACUCCGAGUGUGAGGGCAUAUAGCCCUCGCUUUUCUGAACCGUAAGGUGGUUCAGGAACAAGGACUGGGCAAGACCGGUGCCAGCCGCCGCGGUAAUACCGGCAGUCCAAGUGAUGGCCGAUAUUAUUGGGCCUAAAGCGUCCGUAGCUUGCUGUGUAA